This is a long non-coding RNA of Bombus huntii, 570 nucleotides long. RefSeq lists it as uncharacterized. Lineage: Eukaryota; Metazoa; Arthropoda; Insecta; Hymenoptera; Apidae. The transcript is spliced from 2 exons. The record is from RefSeq and is a predicted model, not a curated record.
CCUUCUUGAUACCACUAAGGAUUUCUUCAGCACAGUGUUCUAGCGUCACAGAAUUCACUACAUUAUCAGCCUCUUCCUCUGAAGACUGUUGUGUAAUGCUGGCAGUUGCCGCUUCUACUUCAUCUAUUGAAUUCAUUUCACUGAAAAUAUUUUCAACUUCAAGAGUGUUCUUGCUCAUUUGCUUUAUGGAAGGAUUAGCGUUAAAAUUGUUAAUGGAUUGUCUAGGUCUAGGAUCUCCUGAGCGAUUCGCAAUGGCCCAUAAGUGACCAGCUCCAUGCGGUGCCUUUGAUCCCUUCCUGAAGUGGGGAUUUAUGGAGAGAUUGUGCCGCACAGAAUUUUUCCAACGGUCAUCGUUGCUUUUGUAAUAGGGAAAGUGUUCUCUAGAUAUAAUAAGAAAAAUAAUUUAUUAAUUUUCCAAAUAUAGUAAACAAAAAUAAGUAAGUUAGGCGGGAGUUGAUAAAUUUUAGAAAAAUUGUUUUACAAUAUAGAAUUUACUAUAUAGAAAAAUUCUAAUUUUGUCACUUAUUCAAUGAGCAAUAAAUAAUCAUGUGAAUGUCUACAUUUGCAUAA